UCUUCUUCCUCAAACGGAAAAACCCCCCCCAAUUUUUUCUUCUUCUUUCCUCCUAAACCCACGAACACCGUUUCCCUAAUUGCCCAGUUUUCACCGCCACGUCUCCCUCGCUACCAUUCCGAACGACGUGCGCCUCCCUCACCGCCAUUCAGAUCCGAACGCCAUGCUUCCUUCACUGUCUCAUCAAACCUGCCGCCGCGCGAGAGAGAUUCCUCGUCAAUCACAGCACCUCACCGACUCAAAUCUGUCCAACUGCCGUUCCCUCGCACCUCCCAGCUCAGAUUCGACCAGCUGCCGCUUCUUCACACUUCGCCAGACCCAGAACCGUCGUCGGCCGUCUUCCUUGUUGCAGUCGGACUAGUUCUAGGUGAGUUUUAGAGAAACUUGGAAUUUAGAGGGAGCACCGUUAUGGGAAAUUGGAAAUGACCUUCAUCCUUUGGUGUUAGGGCCGCUACUUCUAGUUGCCGUUAUAGUUUGGUCAUCGGAGCUUCGUUGUCCAUAAAGUUUCGAUUGAGGAAAAGGUAAAGAUGUACCGGCAAUGGUGCAACGGAAUUCGUGAUCAUGUUACUGGAACUAGACCUUUUCGCUUCCGC
Molecule: long non-coding RNA, 593 nt
Organism: Benincasa hispida (wax gourd)
Lineage: Eukaryota; Viridiplantae; Streptophyta; Magnoliopsida; Cucurbitales; Cucurbitaceae
Source: RefSeq, a predicted model, not a curated record